CGGAGGGUGCAAGCGUUAUCCGGAUUCACUGGGUUUAAAGGGUGUGUAGGCGGGCAGUUAAGUCAGUGGUGAAAUCUCCAGGCUCAACCUGGAAACUGCCAUUGAUACUAUCUGUCUUGAAUUCUGUUGAGGUGGGCGGAAUACAUCAUGUAGCGGUGAAAUGCUUAGAUAUGAUGUAGAACACCGAUUGCGAAGGCAGCUCACUAAGCAGCGAUUGACGCUGAGGCACGAAAGCGUGGGGAUCAAACAGGAUUAGAUACCCUGGUAGUCCACGCCCUAAACGAUGAUUACUCGACAUACGCGAUACACAGUGUGUGUCUGAGCGAAAGCAUUAAGUGAUCCACCUGGGAAGUACGACCGCAAGGUUG
RNAcentral lists this ribosomal RNA (368 nucleotides) under uncultured organism. RNAcentral describes it as "bacterial SSU rRNA". It matches the Rfam family "Bacterial small subunit ribosomal RNA", at positions 526 to 896 of the family's 1533-position model. The record is from RNAcentral.